CCUACGGGAGGCAGCAGUGAGGAAUAUUGGUCAAUGGCCGAGAGGCUGAACCAGCCAAGUCGCGUGAGGGAAGACGGCCCUACGGGUUGUAAACCUCUUUUGUCGGGGAGCAAAGCGAGUCACGUGUGACUCAUUGAGAGUACCCGAAGAAAAAGCAUCGGCUAACUCCGUGCCAGCAGCCGCGGUAAUACGGAGGAUGCGAGCGUUAUCCGGAUUUAUUGGGUUUAAAGGGUGCGUAGGCGGGCCUUCAGGCCGGCGGUAAAAUUGCGGGGCUCAACCCCGCCGAGCCGUCGGAACCGGGGGCCUUGAGUACCGGAGAAGUACGCGGAAUGCGUGGUGUAGCGGUGAAAUGCAUAGAUAUCACGCAGAACCCCGAUUGCGAAGGCAGCGUACCGGCCGGUCACUGACGCUGAGGCACGAAAGCGCGGGUAUCGAACAGGAUUAGAUACCCUUGUAGUC
Molecule: ribosomal RNA, 459 nt
Filed under: uncultured bacterium
Lineage: Bacteria
Description: partial 16S ribosomal RNA
Rfam family: Bacterial small subunit ribosomal RNA
Source: RNAcentral